RNAcentral lists this ribosomal RNA (253 nucleotides) under uncultured bacterium. RNAcentral's name for it is "partial 16S ribosomal RNA". It matches the Rfam family "Bacterial small subunit ribosomal RNA", at positions 524 to 776 of the family's 1533-position model. The record is from RNAcentral.
UACGUAGGGUGCAAGCGUUGUCCGGAAUUAUUGGGCGUAAAGAGCUCGUAGGCGGCUUGUCGCGUCGGCUGUGAAAACCUGGGGCUCAACCCCGGGCCUGCAGCCGAUACGGGCAAGCUAGAAUUCGGUAGGGGAGACUGGAAUUCCUGGUGUAGCGGUGAAAUGCGCAGAUAUCAGGAAGAACACCCGUGGCGAAAGCGGCUCUCUGGAACGGUACUGACGCUGAGACGCGAAAGCGUGGGGAGCGAACAGG